This is a long non-coding RNA of Manis pentadactyla (Chinese pangolin), 1475 nucleotides long. RefSeq lists it as uncharacterized. Lineage: Eukaryota; Metazoa; Chordata; Mammalia; Pholidota; Manidae. The record is from RefSeq and is a predicted model, not a curated record. The transcript has 3 exons.
CCGCCGGCCAGCAGCCCUCUCCACGCACAACCGCCGCGGCAAAGCUGGCCCUGGGCAGGCCCUCUGCCACCCCCAGGGCCCUGGGACCCUUGCGCGUAACCACACGCCUCUCCUGAUGGCAGGGCAGGGGUGGUAUGCCCUGGCACUGGGCACAGGAGGUGUAUUUUCGGGUGCUGAGGAAGCAGGGGGUGAGCGAGCACGUGGACAGGGCCGCAUUCCUGACUCCUGCCAGGCACAGCUCUGUCUUGAUGAGGCAGGGGCCGGCUUGGGGCAGCGCCGGGCACAGGCUUAAGGGGCUGGGCCGAGAGAAGCAGCAGACCAGGUCUGCAUCCCCUACCAGCGGUGUUGUUUGGGUUUUGAGUCAGUUCCAGAUAACUACUGUGUAACUUUCAACAACCUAUUUAGUAAACAGAUGAUUCAACAGAGAACAUCUGUUCUUCCAAGAAGUCCAUUCAGAAGGGGCUGCUCUGGAAGCCUCGCAGUGGAGUCCGGAGGCGUCAGUACCAGCAAACACUUCUGCAGGAGGCUGUGGACGAUCUUAGAGAAAUCCCCUCAAGUCAGGACGCCGCCUGCCUUCCAGCAUGGAGGAUGCAUUCCCCCAGUCCCAAAGUAAAGAGGCAUUAUUUUUCCAUACUCUUAUCUUUUCUGUUAAGCCAAAUGACCCAGUCUCUGGCUGAUUAGUAUUUCCAGGGGCAGCCUGGCAGAGCCCACAGCCCACAGCAGAAGCAUCCAGUCCCGGCUCCUGGGGCUUGUGUUGGAGCAGGACGGGUGCUGGAGGGGAGUCUGAGCUCCUGGUACAAUCCUGCUCUGACCCGGAGCUCAUCCAGAGGAAAUUCCACAUCGUUUAUUUAAAGUAUUCACAGAAAUCUCAGCAAGUACACUGCAGUUAAAGUCAAAUCUAGCAGGAAGCCUGUGUUCAAAAAUAGGAUCCUGUGGAGGCUGAGAUGACCAAGAGGAGAACAGGUCUCUGAAAAUGAGACAGAAGAAAUUUAAAUAAUUAUAUUUUCCUUUAAAAAAUGAAAGAAAGAAAGAAAGAAAGCUGUCAUCGUAUCCAUUCCUUGCGGUUCUCUUUCUAGAUCCCAGAUAUCCUGCCAUCUUGGCUACUCUUCUUGGGAAACUCAACUACUCACUGACCUUCUUGGGGAGGCAGAUUAUUUUCAUUUCCCCAGCAGGUGGCACAGAGUUCCUGAAAUUUUCCCAGCAGCCCUGACUUCUGGUUAUCACGCAAGGCCGCGGUGUGAGUGCCAGCUAGCAGCCACCCGUGGGAAUGCCACACCUCCUGAAAUAAGUGUGUCUUAGUGGGACGUUUCCAUCCUGGAGGAAAUGGGAAUCCUCACAUGGACUUACUUUUUAUUGUCACCCUAUUGCUGUUUCUGUCCCCUUCUGCCAACACAAUUUCCGUCAUGGCUUAAAAAUUUAAUACAUGCUUAAGACUUAACUCAUGAUGACAGAAAGAAAAGUCAAGCUUUACAUUC